AUAGAGUGCCUGGACAUCAACAUCAGAUCAAUUUGGAAUUUCAUGCAAAUAAAACACACCAACUUAAUGGGAUGUGAAAGAGUUGGCUUCAGAAUAAAUCUUUGUUGAAAGACACUGGAAUUACAUUUGAAAUGGAAGUGAAACAAAGUUGAAUUUUAUGGCACUGGCUUACAGGCUCUGUCUUGCGCUGUUUACAGAUUGACCCAAAUGAAGUGAAGAAGACCAGAAUCAGGACCCAUCCUGGCAUAUACCUUUCAGCUGAUAACAUGGAGAUAUGGACAGAAGGCCCCUUGUGUGACUUUGGAAGGAGAUUUUGAGGGUAAGAGAAGGAUUUGUCAUCAAAGAUUGCUACUCUGGUAUUGUGGCUUAGCUGCAGCAACUAUGCAGAACCGAACCCUUAGCAUCCAGCUCUCAAAGAGAUGUUGCGUUUUGGGAUGUUUGUAUAUGCAGAGGUUACAAACUACUUGAGGUAUGACUGAUUUUUGCUGCAUAACAAUUAAUCAAUUAUUUUAAUACCCAUGGGUCUGCAGGUUUUCUGAUUAAGAGGAGAAGCUCUACGGUAAGCCAGAGAAGAAAAGCAAGAAUCUAAGAACAAGGUGCUACUUGGUGUCUGCCAUCUGAGCCUAUGUAAUUUGGAGUUCCUAGCAGAGUAUGUAAUGCAUUCAGAGAGAGGUAUUUGUCUUUUCAAAAUAGGAUCCUGGACCUAAUGGGCACUGCUUGAAUUCAAUACUAGAAUACGAUUCUAAAUAUCAAUAAAGUUUAAGAUCAUAUACAUUGCAAUACUUCACAAGGUUUCUGGGUAGAGAUUUUAUGAAGAGAUGACAUAAUUAUUUUUUGAGUGUUCCUGACCCAAUACUCAAUAAAGAUAGCAGUAUACUGUUUACACGCAGGUGCAUAACGAAUUAUGAAGGACACAUAGUAAGUAAUAACCUCAGUGUCACAUUCCUCUCACAGUCUGAUGACUAUAGUUAAUAACUGUUUUUUUUUACCUUGAAAUUUGAUGAGAGCAGG
RNAcentral lists this long non-coding RNA (1011 nucleotides) under Papio anubis (olive baboon). RNAcentral's name for it is "lncRNA (ENSPANG00000051143.1)". The record is from RNAcentral. Lineage: Eukaryota; Metazoa; Chordata; Mammalia; Primates; Cercopithecidae.